GACGAACGCUGGCGGCGUGCUUAACACAUGCAAGUCGAACGGUAAGGCUCCAGCUUGCUGGGGUACACGAGUGGCGAACGGGUGAGUAACACGUGGGUGACCUGCCCUGCACUUCGGGAUAAGCCUGGGAAACUGGGUCUAAUACCGGAUAGGACCAUGGUGUGGAUACUGUGGUGGAAAGUUUUUUCGGUGUGGGAUGGGCCCGCGGCCUAUCAGCUUGUUGGUGGGGUAAUGGCCUACCAAGGCGGCGACGGGUAGCCGGCCUGAGAGGGUGGACGGCCACAUUGGGACUGAGACACGGCCCAGACUCCUACGGGAGGCAGCAGUGGGGAAUAUUGCACAAUGGGCGGAAGCCUGGUGCAGCGACGCCGCGUGGGGGAUGACGGCCUUCGGGUUGUAAACUCCUUUCACCAUCGACGAAGGGUUUCUGACGGUAGAUGGAGAAGAAGCACCGGCUAACUACGUG
RNAcentral lists this ribosomal RNA (466 nucleotides) under uncultured bacterium. RNAcentral's name for it is "partial 16S ribosomal RNA". It matches the Rfam family "Bacterial small subunit ribosomal RNA", at positions 28 to 507 of the family's 1533-position model. The record is from RNAcentral.